This is a long non-coding RNA of Oncorhynchus keta (chum salmon), 1287 nucleotides long. RefSeq lists it as uncharacterized. The transcript is spliced from 3 exons. Lineage: Eukaryota; Metazoa; Chordata; Actinopteri; Salmoniformes; Salmonidae. The record is from RefSeq and is a predicted model, not a curated record.
UCUAUCUAGUCUCCUCUCUAACCCCUACACAAAACAGUUGUCUCUAUCUAGUCUCCUCUCUAACCCCUACACAAAACAGUUGUCUCUAUCUAGUCUCCUCUCUAACCCCUACACAAAACAGUUGUCUCUAUCUGGUCUCCUCUCUAAACCCUACACAAAACAGUUUUGUCUCUAACUAGUCUCCUCUCUAACCCCUACACAAAACAGUUGUCUCUAUCUAGUCUCCUCUCUAACCCCUACACAAAACAGUUUUGUCUCUAACUAGUCUCCUCUCUAACCCCUACACAAAACAGUUGUCUCUAACUAGUCUCCUCUCUAACCCCUACACAAAACAGUUGUCUCUAACUAGUCUCCUCUCUAACCCCUACACAAAACAGUUGUCUCUCUAACUAGUCUCCUCUCUAACACAAAACAGUUGUCUCUCUAACUACUCUCCUCUCUAACCCCUACACAUAACAGUUGUCUCUAUCUGGUCUCCUCUCUAACCCCUACACAAAACAGUUGUCUCUCCAACUAGUUUCCUCUCUAACACAAAACAGUUGUCUCUCACUAGUCUCCUCUCUAACACAAAACAGUUGUCUCUCACUAGUCUCCUCUCUAACACAAAACAGUUGUCUCUAUCUGGUCUCCUCUCUAACACAAAACAGUUGUCUCUCACUAGUCUCCUCUCUAACACAAAACAGUUGUCUCUCACUAGUCUCCUCUCUAACACAAAACAGUUGUCUCUAUCUGGUCUCCUCUCUAACACAAAACAGUUGUCUCUAACUAGUCUCCUCUCUAACACAAAACAGUUGUCUCUAACUAGUCUCCUCUCUAACACAAAACAGUUGUCUCAACAGCAACAGAACAAUAAUCUAAUGUAUUACUCAUCAAGUCACUGUGGACAUACACUGUGUUAGGUUAUACACUGUGUGUACAAAACAUUAAGGACACUUGAUCUUUCCAUGACAUAGACUGACCAGGUGAAUCCAGGUGAAAGAUAUGAUCCCUUAUUCAUGUCACUUGUUAAAUCCACUUCAAUCAGUGUAGAUGAAGGGGAGGAGGAAGGUUAAAUAAGGAUAUUGAGACAUGGAUUGUGUGCCAUUCAAAGGAUGAACGGGCAAGAUGCAGUAUAUAAAUGUCUUUGAACAGGGUCUGGUAACAGGUGCAUGGAGCACUGGCUUGUGUAAAGAACUGCAACGAUGUUGGGAUUCCUGUGUGUUUCAAGAAUGGUCCACCACCCAAAGGACAUCUGGGCGACGUCUUUCCAAUGGGAAAACACUCCACAUUUUGAUAUGUCAGACAAAG